UACGGAGGGUGCAAGCGUUAUCCGGAUUCACUGGGUUUAAAGGGAGCGUAGGAGGGCAGGUAAGUCCGUGGUGAAAUCUCUGAGCUUAACUCAGAAACUGCCGUGGAUACUAUUUGCCUUGAAUAUUGUGGAGGUGAGCGGAAUAUGUCAUGUAGCGGUGAAAUGCUUAGAUAUGACAUAGAACACCAAUUGCGAAGGCAGCUCACUACACAAUCAUUGACGCUGAGGCACGAAAGCGUGGGGAUCAAACAGG
This 253-nucleotide ribosomal RNA is filed under the name uncultured bacterium. Its description in RNAcentral is "partial 16S ribosomal RNA". It matches the Rfam family "Bacterial small subunit ribosomal RNA", at positions 524 to 776 of the family's 1533-position model. The record is from RNAcentral.